Molecule: long non-coding RNA, 584 nt
Filed under: Ananas comosus (pineapple)
Lineage: Eukaryota; Viridiplantae; Streptophyta; Magnoliopsida; Poales; Bromeliaceae
Description: long non-coding RNA (ACOM_LNC015200)
Source: RNAcentral
UAGUGGCAUAUACCUGUAGAUUAUUCCAGUUUCUUUACUAUCAUUGAGCAUACCUUCUGUAGACUUAGUGGGUGAGCCGUUGAGGUCGGUAAUGGUACCCACUGAGGACUACUUCUUUUUGCAGUAGUUCUCACACCGAGUUGUGGACCCUUUUUGUACAACCUUCUUCUUCGGCUGCUGCCGUUGCGGAUACAGAUCGUGGAAAGGGAGUCACGAGUUAGAUCCCUUCCCGUGUUGCUGCUGAGUUAGAGACAUACCCGCUACAGGUAAUGUUAGUUUUUGGUUCUUAUACAUACUGUUGUUAGUAACUCGCUGGAACGAGUGUUUUUGUAUCAGGAUAUUAUGUAUAUAUGUUGAACCGAUGUUAUUUAUUUAUACUUUUCUUCUUAGCAGCUCUAUAUUACUGGUUGUAGUAUGAUUACAGAUACAGGUACAGCUAUCGCUUUGUAUAUAAGAAAAAUUUCUAACUAUACGGCGGGUCUGUUAGCGUGCCCGGAGAAACGAGUAAUCCGGAGCGUGACUCCGAAUCCGACCCGUUGAUAUCUCUAGCCUAGCAUACCACUUAUUUUUUAAAUUAUACUUAA